AUACGUAGGGUGCAAGCGUUAAUCGGAAUUACUGGGCGUAAAGCGUGCGCAGGCGGUUUUUUAAGGAAGAGGUGAAAGCCCCGGGCUCAACCUGGGAACUGCCUUUGUGACUGCAAGGCUAGAGUACGGCAGAGGGGGAUGGAAUUCCGCGUGUAGCAGUGAAAUGCGUAGAUAUGCGGAGGAACACCGAUGGCGAAGGCAAUCCCCUGGGCCUGUACUGACGCUCAUGCACGAAAGCGUGGGGAGCAAACAGGAUUAGAUACCCUGGUAGUCCACGCCCUAAACGAUGUCAACUGGUUGUUGGGUCUUCAUUGACUCAGUAACGAAGCUAACGCGUGAAGUUGACCGCCUGGGGAGUACGGCCGCAAGGUUGAAACUCAAAUGAAUUGACGGGG
This 395-nucleotide ribosomal RNA is filed under the name uncultured bacterium. RNAcentral describes it as "partial 16S ribosomal RNA". It matches the Rfam family "Bacterial small subunit ribosomal RNA", at positions 523 to 918 of the family's 1533-position model. The record is from RNAcentral.